UAGUUUCUUGGAAGGUGCUCUACUGC
RNAcentral lists this non-coding RNA (26 nucleotides) under Mus musculus (house mouse). The record is from RNAcentral. Lineage: Eukaryota; Metazoa; Chordata; Mammalia; Rodentia; Muridae.